This 287-nucleotide small nuclear RNA is filed under the name Microtus ochrogaster (prairie vole). Its description in RNAcentral is "7SK RNA (ENSMOCG00000005867.1)". It matches the Rfam family "7SK RNA". From Rfam's summary of the family: 7SK was discovered as an abundant small nuclear RNA in the mid-70s but a possible function has only recently been suggested. Two independent studies have found that 7SK RNA binds the CDK9/cyclin T complex (known as elongation factor P-TEFb). The record is from RNAcentral. Lineage: Eukaryota; Metazoa; Chordata; Mammalia; Rodentia; Cricetidae.
GGGUGUGAGGGUGAUCAUCCCACUGAUGACCAGGGUUGAUCGGCUGAUCUGGCUGGCUAGGAGGGUGCCUUCUUCCUCCCUCACUGUUCCAUGUGUCCCUCCUGAAGCUGUGCACUCGGUCAAAGAGGACAACUUUCCCCUAAUAGGGGAGGGCUGGUCUCGGGUUGAGGUUAUACAAGCAGCUGAGCUCCCCUGCUAGGACCUCCAAAUGAGCGCUCAAAGUCUAUGUUUUUAAAAUUAAAAAUUUAAUUAUAUCAAUUUAUCUGUCAUCACUAACGGAUAUAAAU